This 247-nucleotide unclassified non-coding RNA is filed under the name Hevea brasiliensis (rubber tree). The record is from RNAcentral. Lineage: Eukaryota; Viridiplantae; Streptophyta; Magnoliopsida; Malpighiales; Euphorbiaceae.
AACUUCUCCAACUAUCCCAAGGGUGCUGAGUUCAAGCAGAUUUUUGAACCUCUUGGAGAUGGGAUUUUCAAUUCUGACUCAGAUACCUGGAGAGCUCAGAGGAGAAUAAUUCACUCUUUGUUUAAGAAAAAGAGGUUCGAGCUUGCUGUAGAGAUCAGUUUGAAGCAGAAGAUCUUACAGGGUCUAUUUCCAGUUCUGGAAAAUGUUUCAUAUGAAGUAGACUUGCAAGAUGUGUUUCAGCGAUUCA